AGGUCAUUUCAAAGAGGGCUUAUGGAGCUGUGAAACCAGGAGCUCUUAACGCUAUGACCAAAGAUUGAGGUUCUCCAUAGGAUGCCAGUCAGUCAGUAGUGCUGUGUUUCCCGAGGAGAUACAAAA
Molecule: small nucleolar RNA, 126 nt
Filed under: Equus asinus (donkey)
Lineage: Eukaryota; Metazoa; Chordata; Mammalia; Perissodactyla; Equidae
Description: Small nucleolar RNA SNORA25 (ENSEASG00005022313.2, ENSEASG00020008348.1)
Rfam family: Small nucleolar RNA SNORA25
About the family: ACA25 is a member of the H/ACA class of snoRNA that guide the sites of modification of uridines to pseudouridines.
Source: Rfam by way of RNAcentral